UUGGUAGGGUAGCGGCUUACCAAGGCAACGAUCAGUAGCCGGCCUGAGAGGGUGGACGGCCACACUGGGACUGAGAACGGCCCAGACUCCUACGGGAGGCAGCAGUGGGGAAUAUUGUGCAAUGGGGGAAACCCUGACGCAGCGACGCCGCGUGAGCGAAGAAGGCAUUCGGGUUGUAAAGCUCUGUUGUAAGGGACGAAAGAUCAAGGGAAUAACUGCCCUUGAAGUGACGGUACCUUACCAGCAAGCCCAGGCCAACUACGUGCCAGCAGCCGCGGUAAGACGUAGGGGGCGAGCCUUGUCCGGAAUUACUGGGCGUAAAGAGCAGGUAGGCGGAUGUAUAAGUCAGGUGUGAAAGACCGCAGCCUAACUGCGGGGUUGCACUUGAAACUGUAUAUCUUGAGGGCAGGAGAGGUUAGUAGAAUUCAUGGUGUAGCGGUGAAAUGAGUAGAAAUCAGGAGGAAUACCAGUGGCGAAGGAGACUAACUGGACUGACCCUGACGGUGAGGUGGGAAAGCGUGGGUAGCAAACAGGAUUAGAUACCUUGGUAGUCCACGCCGUAAACGAUGGAUACUAGGUGUGGGAGGUAUCGACCCCUUCCGUGCCGCAGCUAACGC
This 617-nucleotide ribosomal RNA is filed under the name uncultured bacterium. Its description in RNAcentral is "bacterial SSU rRNA". It matches the Rfam family "Bacterial small subunit ribosomal RNA", at positions 249 to 858 of the family's 1533-position model. The record is from RNAcentral.